AUGCAAGUCGAGCGGAUGAAGGGAGCUUGCUCCUGGAUUUAGCGGCGGACGGGUGAGUAAAGCCUAGGAAUCUGCCUGGUAGUGGGGGACAACGACUCGAAAGGGUCGCUAAUACCGCAUACGUCCUACGGGAGAAAGUGGGGGAUCUUCGGACCUCACGCUAUCAGAUGAGCCUAGGUCGGAUUAGCUAGUAGGUGAGGUAAUGGCUCACCUAGGCGACGAUCCGUAACUGGUCUGAGAGGAUGAUCAGUCACACUGGAACUGAGACACGGUCCAGACUCCUACGGGAGGCAGCAGUGGGGAAUAUUGGACAAUGGGCGAAAGCCUGAUCCAGCCAUGCCGCGUGUGUGAAGAAGGUCUUCGGAUUGUAAAGCACUUUAAGUUGGGAGGAAGGGUUGUAGUUUAAUACGCUGCAACUUUGACGUUACCAACAGAAUAAGCACCGGCUAACUCUGUGCCAGCAGCCGCGGUAAUACAGAGGGUGCAAGCGUUAAUCGGAAUUACUGGGCGUAAAGCGCGCGUAGGCGGCUUGAUAAGAUGGGUGUGAAAUCCCCGGGCUUAACCUGGGAACUGCAUCCAUAACUGUCUGGCUAGAGUACAGUAGAGGGUGGUGGAAUUUCCUGUGUAGCGGUGAAAUGCGUAGAUAUAGGAAGGAACACCAGUGGCGAAGGCGACCACCUGGACUGAUACUGACGCUGAGGUGCGAAAGCGUGGGGAGCAAACGGGAUUAGAUACCCUGGUAGUCCACGCCGUAAACGAUGUCUACUAGCCGUUGGAAUCCUUGAGAUUUUAGUGGCGCAGCUAACGCACUAAGUAGACCGCCUGGGGAGUACGGUCGCAAGAUUAAAACUCAAAUGAAUUGACGGGGGCCCGCACAAGCGGUGGAGCAUGUGGUUUAAUUCGAAGCAACGCGAAGAACCUUACCUGGCCUUGACAUGCAGAGAACUUUCCAGAGAUGGAUU
Molecule: ribosomal RNA, 962 nt
Filed under: uncultured Pseudomonas sp.
Lineage: Bacteria; Pseudomonadati; Pseudomonadota; Gammaproteobacteria; Pseudomonadales; Pseudomonadaceae
Description: bacterial SSU rRNA
Rfam family: Bacterial small subunit ribosomal RNA
Source: RNAcentral